RNAcentral lists this ribosomal RNA (649 nucleotides) under uncultured bacterium. Its description in RNAcentral is "bacterial SSU rRNA". It matches the Rfam family "Bacterial small subunit ribosomal RNA", at positions 747 to 1395 of the family's 1533-position model. The record is from RNAcentral.
UCAGAUGCGAAAGCGUGGGUAGCAAACAGGAUUAGAUACCCUGGUAGUCCACGCCGUAAACGCUGUCUACUUGGAGGUUGAGGUUUUAGACUUUGGCUUUCGGCGCUAACGCAUUAAGUAGACCGCCUGGGGAGUACGGCCGCAAGGUUAAAACUCAAAUGAAUUGACGGGGGCCCGCACAAGCGGUGGAGCAUGUGGUUUAAUUCGAUGCAACGCGAAGAACCUUACCUACUCUUGACAUCCAGCGAAGCCUUUAGAGAUAGAGGCGUGCCUUCGGGAGCGCUGAGACAGGUGCUGCAUGGCUGUCGUCAGCUCGUGUUGUGAAAUGUUGGGUUAAGUCCCGCAACGAGCGCAACCCUUAUCCUUGUUUGCCAGCACGUAAUGGUGGGAACUCCAGGGAGACUGCCGGUGAUAAACCGGAGGAAGGUGGGGACGACGUCAAGUCAUCAUGGCCCUUACGAGUAGGGCUACACACGUGCUACAAUGGCAGAUACAGAGGGCAGCGAGACAGCGAUGUUUAGCGAAUCCCUUAAAGUUUGUCGUAGUCCGGAUUGGAGUCUGCAACUCGACUCCAUGAAGUCGGAAUCGCUAGUAAUCGUGGAUCAGAAUGCCACGGUGAAUACGUUCCCGGGCCUUGUACACACCGCCC